GAACGCUAGCGGCAGGCUUAACACAUGCAAGUCGAGGGGCAGCAUGACGAACCUUCGGGUUUUGUUGAUGGCGACCGGCGCAAGGGGUNCGUAACGCGUGAGCAACUUGCCCUUAUCAGGGGGAUAACCGGUGGAAACGCCGACUAAUACCCCAUAGUAUUGGCUUUAGGCAUCUUUAGUCAAUUAAAGAAUUUCGGAUAAGGAUAGGCUCGCGUGACAUUAGCUAGAUGGCGGGGUAACGGCCCACCAUGGCUACGAUGUCUAGGGGUUCUGAGAGGAAGGUCCCCCACACUGGAACUGAGACACGGUCCAGACUCCUACGGGAGGCAGCAGUGAGGAAUAUUGGUCAAUGGUCAGACGACUGAACCAGCCAUGCCGCGUGAAGGUGACGGCCCUAUGGGUCUUAAACUUCUUUUGCAAGGGAGCAAUAAGAGCUACGUGUAGCUUGAUGAGAGUACCUUGCGAAUAAGCAUCGGCUAACUCCGUG
This 487-nucleotide ribosomal RNA is filed under the name uncultured bacterium. RNAcentral describes it as "bacterial SSU rRNA". It matches the Rfam family "Bacterial small subunit ribosomal RNA", at positions 31 to 507 of the family's 1533-position model. The record is from RNAcentral.